AGCAGGAGCCGGCAGGCGCGGCGGGCGCGCCCGCACUGCUGUGGCGGGCGGGAGGAGGGACGGGCGGACAGCGCCGGGCGGGGGCCGAGCUGGGGAAGGCCGUGAGGGACGGGCGCUGUGGCCAAUGGGGCCCGCGGGGCGGGCUGCGCAGGAACGCGGCGCGGCGGGGUGGGGCGGGGGGCGCUGGCGCGGGGCUGGGGCAGGCGGGAGCGGCGCCGGGCGGGGGCUGCAUUUCGCCGCCGCGGAAUGGCUCCUCCCGCUGCUGCCCGGUGUGGGGCCUGUCCCAGUUUGUCUUUGCAGCAGAGCGUCAGUCGCACUGACAAAUUCACACCUAAAUGACGGAAGUUUCCUCGUUAGCAGCUCAGCUCCGUAAUUUAAUGGUUGCACACCCUCUGUAGAAAGCGCUGAGGCGCCGGCUCACGCCAUCAGGCGCUGGCCAUUGCGCCUUCGUGGCCAUCCGACCCCUGCCCCCGCACCUUGUGCUGCCUGACUCGCAGUUACCAAGAGUCUGAGAGAACGAACACACCCAAGGGAAAAACUGACAGCCUCCACCCACGCUUUGGUGUUUGGGUAUGGUACGUUAAACUUGGAUACAAACAACAACAAUUAAAAUAAUGCCGCCCAUAUUGUCACAAUGUUUCAGGUAAACCCUGGAACACUGCUGUACUUUCUCUUCCAAGUAUUUCAACACUGUCAGUACAAUGCAGUGGUACUGAAAAUGCGUGUUGACUGACAAGAGUCAUGUUUGAAAAGCAUGCAGUACACAGAUCACAAGGCUUUGGUAUUGGUUGGGUUUGGAUUGCAGUAGUACAGGUGUGAUCUGAACAGAAACAGUGAGUUUCUUUUUAAUUUCCUGGAUUGUUUGAAAUGGGUAUUUGAUAACCUAUUGUGUAUGCAAUAUGCCAUUUUAAGUGUCCUGGAGCCUGGAGUUCUGCUCAGCCGUAACAGAGCACAUGAAGCUGACAGCAGGGUGGAAUUGUACAUGCUGCUCACCUUAUGCUCCUUAAUUGUGCUCAGCAGAGACCAAAUCUGAGGAGAGGGGUAGUUUUGUUUUCACACUAAUUUAAUCCCUGGCUACUCUACUGGGACUGCCACCAACUAGGAUGGAAUAGUGUUUUAUGAUGAUAAUCGGUUUACUGAGAAAUUGGCAAAAUGCUAAGAAGUGUUAUAUGAGCCAUUGAACAGCAAGGGAAAUGGUUUGUCAUGUUACUAUUGACCUGUCCCUGAUUUUAACAUAGGACUAGAUGAGAAAAGUCCUUUACACCCCUACCAGUCCUUGACAGUAACUCAAAUUGAUACUUCCUGUUCAGGAUCGUUGUUUGCUUCAUCUAUUUUCUUACAGGGUUUUGAAUGAAGGGUUUAAUCUUUAGCAACAAAACGUAGAGAUGAUCACAUUUUUAUAAAAGUCCACUGUGUUUAAGACAUUGUGUUUAACAAUAGUUAUUAAUUUUAAACUUCUUGCCUAUAUAUGGGAAUUGUAUGUUCAAGUAUCCAGCUUGUAUCCAGAUCCAAAAAAUAAGCAUGCGUUCCUACUAGGAUAAUAAUAUUCACUUACCGUUUCUUUACUUUUCUCCACCUGCACAGAGCAUACAGCCCUACUUUGGGGACUACAUCUCUGCCUAAAUUUAAAUAAUUAAACUAAAUCAAAUGUGGUCAUCAGAGUUUAUAAAAAAGAGAAUUGUAUGUGUAUAUAUAUAGAUAUUUUCCAAAACAUUAAAUUGCUUCUAUUUCUUCUUGUUCAGAAAAGCCAUUUUCUUCAAAUGAGUCAGCUUUGGACUAAGUCCAAGCAGGAGAACUUUACCCCCACUGACAACAGAUUUAGAAUUUCUCACUACAGUGCCCUGCAGUGGUGCCCUACAUUGUGUCUAUAAUAAAAUUAUUAAAUUUUUUUAUCUCUUGCAAAUGAUUGAUUCCUGUCAUACACCACAUAACAUGUCCUUAUCAUAAUGUGACUAGCUCUCUGCAACUGAUGCCCUCCAUCAUGAACUCUUCAAGGUACUUUCUUAUGUGAAUUAUCACAACUUUUUAAUGUGAAAAUAUUUUUUGGAAAUGUUUAUUGCAAAUUGCCCAGUGCAUUUUAUAAUUAAGUAGAGUAAUAGAUAGGUGUGAGAAUUUAUAGAGUAGUAGUAGCUGUUGCUCAGAUGGUGAAUCUCCCAUAGUUGUUAACAUUAGUUGCAAUGUAAGAUGCAGUUUCACUUAUAGUUUUAGCCAUCAAAAUAAAAGCCUUUCCAAAGUCUGCUGAAACUACAGCUAGCUGGAGCACAACUACUGAAGAUAUUUUGCACAGACAAGAUAUAACUAUCUGUACAAAUUAAGAAAAUACCAGGAGUUAUCCUAGGGAUCUAAAUUUGCUAUAAAUAUCAAAACAGAGUCCCCAGCAAUAUUAAUUCCCAGAGCUGGUAUCCCAGUUACCAAAUAAUUACAGAUUAGGUGCACAAAGUUACAUAAUGAGUCUUUCAAGUGAGACUCUGUAUCUGAUCCCACGGAACAUUUAAACAAAUCCUGUAUACACACUUUCAAGCUGGACAUGAAGCCCAAACUCCUCUCAUUUUAAUUUCUAUUUUUAUAUUUGAACAGGAGCACUAGUAAAUACUGCAACAACAUGCAGCUAAAUCAAAAGAACAUUCGGUGAAACAGUUACCUGUAUGUUUGUCUCUCAGGAGUUAAGUGGUCUGAACAAUUACUACAUAGUUUCUUCUGAGUGACAGGGUUUAAUUGCUGCUUUUCCCUAUUCUUACUACUGUUGUUCAUUAUGAUUGCAUGUUUCCACUUUUCUAGGAAAUAGAUUGAAAGGCCUCUGGGGUAAGCACUUCUGCUUAUUAAAUGCUCAGGUGGAUUUCAAAUUGAUUUGAAGUGGAAUUUCUGGGCAUGACUGCAAUACAAAUAUUAAAUAAUAAUUAGUGGAAGUAAUAACCACAUGAAAGACACGAAGAGGCAAUAAGUAAUUUUUUUUUCUUUAACAAGUAUAUAUUGAAGUUUAUUUUAUAUAAUUUAAAUUUGCCAAAAUAUCUUACUGUAGCAUUUUCUGAAUUUACGUGGUUCACAGCUGGAUGACACCACAUUUAUGCUGGUGAAAUUAACACAAAACUGGUAUAAUUCAGUGGCAGUUAAGUUUUAGAAGUGUACUGCUAUAACUUCUAAAUACAUAAUGCAUUUUUGCUAUAUUUAAAGAGAAGCUAAGUAAACAACUUCUGUUCAGUCUAACUUCACUACAAUCCCAAAUAUACACUGGCUAAAUACACCAUACAAAUAAGUUUUUUCUGUAUUUGGUUGCUUUGUUUCUCAAACAGUAAAAUCAAAGUGAUGAAUUAUUAUGCAAGUACCAAUAGAAAACCUUGGUAAUACCACAACCUAUUUUUUAUAUGCUGUGUUCUAGAAAUGGUUAGGAAUGUUUUAGAAUUAUUUUUAACCAUUAUAUUGUUAGUUUUUGCUUGUUUUUAUCUUCCUUGGCUAGCAUGGGAGAGCUGAUGAUUUCUGAGGAACAUUUUGGACAUAGAGGAGCAUUUCAUGUGAAGGAGCAAAGACAAAAAGGUGGUGUUAAGGUUUCAUCUACUGUUUUCCUCCAUCAAAGGAUAUUUUUAUACAUCUUUACAUGGCAGAUAUAUUCUACAGCAUUAUUCCACAUCAGUGAGGAAAUAGUCACUUUCCAGACCACAAAAGUGAAAAAGUUGUCAAUUAACUAAUUUCUAUUCCUGCAAACAAGAAAAAGUGCUCAACAGAGAGCUUGGCUUUACUGAUUAAUUUGAGAAGUCCGCUUUAGUCUAGAGGAGUAAUUGUUUCUAUUUUUAUAAAAAAAGUAUUUAAAAUAUUUUACUUUCUUGGAGAAAAGUGAAAAUGCAUCGCUUCUGUUUAACCAUGCUAUUAGCAGUGUAGCAGAGUAUACAUCUGAGCAUCAUGACAACAUUGACUCACCCCAUUUCCAUGAACAUAUUUCUAACUGCUGUGAUUAAACAGUAUACAUUCAGAUUAAACAGGCACACAGCUCAGGUGAGAUUCAGAGAUUCAGUGAAUUUUGACACUGGGAUACAAAUUAGACCAAGUUUGUAGAAAAGGUGAUACCUUUAAUUAGAUCAACUGAUAGAAAUGGAGAAAACUUGACUGACAUCCUUAAUGAGAAUUGAGAAGGAGGAAAAUCCAAACUGAAUAUAAGUGGCAUGUAUUGCUUUAAGUGUAAUAAAUUAUUUUAAUCAAUUAAACCACUGGUGAGAAAACACCUGCUAACAUGAAUGUACAGAGGAUCAAUCAGUAAGAAAACUGUCGGCUUUAAAAAUAAUGUUGCUACUGUCUCCAUGAAGAAUGUAGUUCCCAGGUUUAUUUUUCAAAUGUGACUUGGAGGUCCCUUGUUAGUCCCUGCUCUGUGCAAGAGAUGGAUUAUUUUUUUAAAUGAAAUAAUUAUUCUCCUACCCUUUGCUGUGUUUUGUCUGUGAUCUGUGCCAGUUCAGUGUAGUGAAUAAUAGUUGAUGAGUUCCAUGCAUGUAAUUUUCAUGAGAAUGUGUGAUAGUGUAAUAUAUCACAUUUUAAAGAGUAUGCAGAAAACAUAAAAUAAUUAAUUUUCAUUAAUUCUGGUCACUGAUAUCAAUCAUGUUAAAUAUGUCAGUAUUCAUGAAGUUUACUUUGGCUGUGCCAGCAAGGUUUAAUUCUAAUGAGUGUUUGUUAGUACAGAAGAGGUCUGCUUUGGAUUGUGAGUUUAAUACGGGGACCAGUAUUUAAAAAGAGAUGUGGGAAAGAAGCAGUCUUCAAGGAGGUGUAAAUGCUGUAAUUAUCUGGUUUUUGUACAUAUACAAGCAUUGAGUAUUAUGCAAUAAACAGGAAUAUUUUAUUAA
This is a non-coding RNA of Taeniopygia guttata (zebra finch), 4823 nucleotides long. The record is from RefSeq and is a predicted model, not a curated record. NCBI's taxonomy places the organism in Eukaryota, Metazoa, Chordata, Aves, Passeriformes, Estrildidae.